AUUGAACGCUGGCGGCAGGCCUAACACAUGCAAGUCGAGCGAGCGGCGGACGGGUGAGUAAUGUCUGGGAAACUGCCUGAUGGAGGGGGAUAACUACUGGAAACGGUAGCUAAUACCGCAUACCAUCAGAUGUGCCCAGAUGGGAUUAUCUAGUAGGUGGGGUAACGGCUCACCUAGGCGACGAUCCCUAGCUGGUCUGAGAGGAUGACCAGCCACACUGGAACUUAGACACGGUCCAGAGUCCUACGGGAGGCAGCAGUGGGGAAUAUUGCACAAUGGGCGAAAGCCUGAUAAAGCUAUGCCGCGGGUGUGAAGAAGGCCUUCGGGUUGUAAAGCACUUUCAGCGGGGAGGCGUUACCCGCAGAAGAAGCACCGGAUAACUCCGUGCCAGCAGCCGCGGUAAUAC
This 406-nucleotide ribosomal RNA is filed under the name uncultured bacterium. RNAcentral describes it as "partial 16S ribosomal RNA". It matches the Rfam family "Bacterial small subunit ribosomal RNA", at positions 30 to 526 of the family's 1533-position model. The record is from RNAcentral.